CAAUAGCGUAUAUUAAAGUUGUUGCAGUUAAAAGCUCGUAGUUGGAUUUCGGAGUGGGCCAGUUGGUCCGCCGCAAGGUGUGUUACUGACUGGUUUGCUCUUCUUCGCAAAGACUGCGUGUGCCCUUAAAUGAGUGUGCGUAGGAUUUACGACGUUUACUUUGAAAAAUUAGAGUGUUCAAAGCAGGCUAUUGCUUGAAUACAUGAGCAUGGAAUAAUGGAAUAGGACUUUGGUCCCAUUUUGUUGGUUUGCGGAUCGAGGUAAUGAUUAAUAGGGAUAGUUGGGGGUGAUUCAUUAUUUAAUUUGAUCUAGAGGUGAAAUUCUUGGAUUUAUGAAAGAUGAACUUAGGCGAAAGCAUUUACCAAGGAUGUUUUCAUUAAUCAAGAACGAAAGUUAGGGGAUCGAAGAUGAUUAGAUACCA
Molecule: ribosomal RNA, 421 nt
Filed under: uncultured eukaryote
Lineage: Eukaryota
Description: bacterial SSU rRNA
Rfam family: Eukaryotic small subunit ribosomal RNA
Source: RNAcentral